GCUACAGGCUUAACACAUGCAAGUCGAGGGGCAGCAUGGUCUUAGCUUGCUAAGACUGAUGGCGACCGGCGCACGGGUGAGUAACACGUAUCCAACCUGCCUUAUACUCCCGGACAGCCUUCUGAAAGGAAGAUUAAUACGGGAUGGUAUCACGAGCCAGCAUUUUCUCGUGAUUAAAGAACUUCGGUAUAAGAUGGGGAUGCGUUCCAUUAGAUAGUAGGCGGGGUAACGGCCCACCUAGUCUACGAUGGAUAGGGGUUCUGAGAGGAAGGUCCCCCACAUUGGAACUGAGACACGGUCCAAACUCCUACGGGAGGCAGCAGUGAGGAAUAUUGGUCAAUGGGCGCGAGCCUGAACCAGCCAAGUAGCGUGAAGGAUGACUGCCCUACGGGUUGUAAACUUCUUUUAUAAAGGAAUAAAGUGAGGCACGUGUGCCUUUUUGUAUGUACUUUAUGAAUAAGGAUCGGCUAACUCCGUGCCAGCAGCCGCGGUAAUACGGAGGAUCCGAGCGUUAUCCGGAUUUAUUGGGUUUAAAGGGAGCGUAGAUGGGUUGUUAAGUCAGUUGUGAAAGUUUGCGGCUCAACCGUAAAAUUGCAAUUGAUACUGGCAGCCUUGAGUACAGUUGAGGUAGGCGGAAUUCGUGGUGUAGCGGUGAAAUGCUUAGAUAUCACGAAGAACUCCGAUUGCGAAGGCAGCUUACUAAACUGCCACUGACAUUGAUGCUCGAAAGUGUGGGUAU
Molecule: ribosomal RNA, 739 nt
Filed under: uncultured Bacteroidales bacterium
Lineage: Bacteria; Pseudomonadati; Bacteroidota; Bacteroidia; Bacteroidales
Description: bacterial SSU rRNA
Rfam family: Bacterial small subunit ribosomal RNA
Source: RNAcentral